AAGUCGUAACAAGGUCUCCGUAGGUGAACCUGCGGAGGGAUCAUUACCGAGAGAGGGCGCCCCGCGCGCCCGACCUCCCAACCCUCUGUCGACCGUACCGCGUUGCCUCGGGGCCGCCCUCGCGGGCGCCCCAGAGGACACCAAUCGAAAACUCUGCAUCUCAUGCGUCGGAGUCAUUAUGUGAAUCAAUCAAAACUUUCAACAACGGAUCUCUUGGUUCUGGCAUCGAUGAAGAACGCAGCGAAAUGCGAUAAGUAAUGUGAAUUGCAGAAUUCAGUGAAUCAUCGAAUCUUUGAACGCACAUUGCGCCCCUGGCAUUCCGGGGGCAUGCCUGUUCGAGCGUCAUUACACCACUCAAGCCUGGCUUGGCGUUGGGCGACGGGGCCCCGGCCCGCGCCUCAAAUUCACCGGCUGGACCGGACCGUACCUCAGCGUUGUGGCACACAAGCUCGCUGCGGGGCGGCCGGCGCGCCGUCAAAACACCCCACUCAAGGUUGACCUCGGAUCAGGUAGGGAUACCCGCUGAACUUAA
This 532-nucleotide ribosomal RNA is filed under the name uncultured fungus. RNAcentral's name for it is "eukaryotic LSU rRNA". The stretch from base 194 to 345 matches the Rfam family "5.8S ribosomal RNA". The record is from RNAcentral. Lineage: Eukaryota; Fungi.